UGGGGGAUAUUGCACAAUGGGCGAAAGCCUGAUGCAGCGACGCCGCGUGGGGGAUGAAGGCCUUCGGGUUGUAAACUUCUUUUGCUCUGAACAAGGCGCACCAUGGGGUGUGUUGAGUGUAGGGGUUGAUUAGCGCCGGCUAACUACGUGCCAGCAGCCGCGGUAAUACGUAGGGCGCGAGCGUUGUCCGGAAUUAUUGGGCGUAAAGGGCUUGUAGGUGGCUGGUUGCGUCUGUCGUGAAAGCUCAUGGCUUAACUGUGGGUUUGCGGUGGGUACGGGCUGGCUUGAGUGCAGUAGGGGAGGGCGGAAUUCCUGGUGUAGCGGUGGAAUGCGCAGAUAUCAGGAGGAAUACCGGUGGCGAAGGCGGGUCUCUGGGCUGUUACUGACACUGAGGAGCGAAAGCAUGGGGAGCGAACAGG
RNAcentral lists this ribosomal RNA (419 nucleotides) under bacterium. RNAcentral's name for it is "partial 16S ribosomal RNA". It matches the Rfam family "Bacterial small subunit ribosomal RNA", at positions 355 to 776 of the family's 1533-position model. The record is from RNAcentral.